AGAGUAUGCAAACUGCACUUUAAAGACAAUAUAUUUCUCAAUUAUGAACAUACAAGAUUAUAAUUGCAUGCUGUCCCAAAUUCUAUUUUUAGAAGAAAUUCUGAAGACGAGGCAGAGAAUACAGAGGCACAAAAUAAAAUUAUUACAAAGGUGCAACUAAAAAAGUGUAAUAGAAGAUACAAUUGAUUUUUUAUGUAAAGUCUUAUGUAUAUUCUUAAUAUUAUUUAUAUAAUGUCGUACAAAAAUCAUAUUUAGUAACUUGAAAUAAUGAAGAAAUUAUAAAACAGUAAAUACAUCAGCUUCAAAAGGAGCUACAAACAUCAUUAUCAUUAUUUGCAAGGUUUCCAAAAAA
Molecule: long non-coding RNA, 352 nt
Organism: Monomorium pharaonis (pharaoh ant)
Lineage: Eukaryota; Metazoa; Arthropoda; Insecta; Hymenoptera; Formicidae
Exons: 2
Source: RefSeq, a predicted model, not a curated record